RNAcentral lists this non-coding RNA (92 nucleotides) under Alexandrium tamarense. Lineage: Eukaryota; Dinophyceae; Gonyaulacales; Pyrocystaceae. The record is from RNAcentral.
GCAACUCAUGCGGGGGCAACCAGGUGGGUGAGUGCAGCUUUCCUGGCGCCACAGGCUGCACCUGCGGUGUCAUCCCCAGUGGCAUGCCCGAU